AGUGAACGCUGGCGGUAGGCCUAACACAUGCAAGUCGAACGGCAGCACAGUAAGAGCUUGCUCUUACGGGUGGCGAGUGGCGGACGGGUGAGGAAUACAUCGGAAUCUACUUUUUCGGGGGGGAUAACGUAGGGAAACUUACGCUGAUACCGCAUACGACCUACGGGUGAAAGCAGGGGAUCUUCGGACCUUGCGCGAUUGAAUGAGCCGAUGUCGGAUUAGCUAGUUGGCGGGGUAAAGGCCCACCAAGGCGACGAUCCGUAGCUGGUGUGAGAGGAUGGUAAGCCACACUGGAGCUGAGACACGGUCCAGACUCCUACGGGAGGCCGCAGUGGGGAAUAGUGGACAAUGGGCGCAAGCCUGAUCCAGCCAUACCGCGUGGGUGAAGAAGGCCUUCGGGUUGUAAAGCCCUUUUGUUGGGAAAGAAAAGCAGCAGGUUAAUACCCCGCUGUUCUGACGGUACCCAAAGAAUAAGCACCGGCUAACUUCGUG
Molecule: ribosomal RNA, 492 nt
Filed under: uncultured bacterium
Lineage: Bacteria
Description: partial 16S ribosomal RNA
Rfam family: Bacterial small subunit ribosomal RNA
Source: RNAcentral